UCACGGAUCCAGAGUUUGAUCCUGGCUGAGGACGAACGCUGGCGGCGUGCCUAAUACAUGCAAGUAGAACGCUGAAGAGAGGUGCUUGUCUCUUCUUGGUUGAGUUGCGAACGKGUGAGUAACGCGUWKGUAACCUGCCUUGUAGCGKGGKAUWACUAUUGGAAACGAUAGCUAAUACCGCAUAACAAUGGAUGACACUUGUCAUUUAUUUGAAWGKKGCAAUUGCUCCACUACAAGAUGGACCUGCGUUGUAUUAGCUAGUAGGUGAGGUAACKGCUCACCUAGGCGACGAUACAUAGCCGACCUGAGAGGGUGAUCGGCCACACUGGGACUGAGACACGGCCCAGACUCUACGGGAGGCWGCAGUAGGGAAUCUUCGGCAAUGGGGGCAACCCUGACCGAGCAACGCCGCGUGAKUGAAGAAGGUUUUCGGAUCGUAAAGCUCUGUUGUAAGUCAAGAACGAGUGUGAGAGUGGAAAUUCACACUGUGACGUG
Molecule: ribosomal RNA, 495 nt
Filed under: uncultured bacterium (human infant) L4b
Lineage: Bacteria
Description: partial 16S ribosomal RNA
Rfam family: Bacterial small subunit ribosomal RNA
Source: RNAcentral